Gasterosteus aculeatus aculeatus (three-spined stickleback) is the source of this 708-nucleotide long non-coding RNA. The record is from Ensembl. Lineage: Eukaryota; Metazoa; Chordata; Actinopteri; Perciformes; Gasterosteidae.
GUUCCUACGAGGCCUGCUGGUCGUUCCUCUCUCUCCCAACACCUCACCGCUGCAGAGCGCCGACAGCUGAGCAACUGCUGUGGUCGCAGCAGAAAACAUGAUUGCCAACAGGGUCGCACAUGCAGACCAGAGCGUUAAAAGACUAUUCUCCUUGUUGUGGUCCAUGGAGGCUUACAUGUACUGUACCUUCCAGAGCAAUGUGGCCUGCUUGUGUUACAUACUUUUGUGGGCCGCCUCCCUAACAACUGGCAACAAAGGAGCCAUUGAGCAGAGGCAGCGACGAGGGGCUUUGAUGGGUAAUCUGCAUGCGUUUGUAGAGGGAAACUGGAGCUGGGUUAAAGGAAACAGAAACACACAGUGCAUUGAUUCAUGCCGUGCAGCCUCACUCUCUUCCUCACAGGUCAAACAUCAAAGUGGCGAUGUAAAAUGUACUCUGGGAACAGGAAGCGGUCCAGCUUGAUGCCGCACACCGCAGGUGUUACGGCUUUUGCCGUUGCAGGAACAGGUUUUUUGGAGAUCACGUUGCUCUGUCGGCACAGCUAAGGGGCCGAUUUGGAUGCCAAGGGUCCUGCACACGGACGCGGAUUAGCGUAGCCCGGCAUCGAACUGCCGAUCCUCUGAUUGAAGGACGCUCCGUCUCUCCCACUGAGCCUCAGCCGACUCAGCCGGCGUCUUCUCCCACAUCCAGCUGCAUCUGCCUGGCCUGCG